RNAcentral lists this ribosomal RNA (425 nucleotides) under uncultured cyanobacterium. Its description in RNAcentral is "bacterial SSU rRNA". It matches the Rfam family "Bacterial small subunit ribosomal RNA", at positions 355 to 795 of the family's 1533-position model. The record is from RNAcentral. Lineage: Bacteria; Bacillati; Cyanobacteriota.
UGGGGAAUUUUCCGCAAUGGGCGCAAGCCUGACGGAGCAACGCCGCGUGAGGGAUGAAGGCCUCUGGGCUGUAAACCUCUUUUAUCAAGGAAGAAGAUCUGACGGUACUUGAUGAAUAAGCCACGGCUAAUUCCGUGCCAGCAGCCGCGGUAAUACGGAAGUGGCAAGCGUUAUCCGGAAUUAUUGGGCGUAAAGCGUCCGCAGGCGGUUUUACAAGUCUGUCGUUAAAACGUGGAGCUCAACUCCAUUUCGGCGAUGGAAACUGUAAGACUAGAGUGUGGUAGGGGCAGAGGGAAUUCCCGGUGUAGCGGUGAAAUGCGUAGAUAUCGGGAAGAACACCAGUGGCGAAGGCGCUCUGCUGGGCCAUAACUGACGCUCAUGGACGAAAGCUAGGGGAGCGAAAGGGAUUAGAUACCCCUGUAGUC